Molecule: long non-coding RNA, 456 nt
Organism: Cygnus atratus (black swan)
Lineage: Eukaryota; Metazoa; Chordata; Aves; Anseriformes; Anatidae
Exons: 3
Source: RefSeq, a predicted model, not a curated record
UGGCAGCCUGGCUCUGAAAAACACCAAGGGAGGCGUCCAAAGCCAGUGAAGGUCACGCAGAGAUAUUUCCGUCUUCUCUCUCCUCCCACCCAACCUCCAGUGAUAUGGGAUUUCCUGAGCAUGAGGAUAACUACUUCACUUUGAUGCUCACUGUCCCAAGCCUAGGCAGAAGUCUGAAGUUGUUGAUAUGAAACUUCAGAGAAGUCUUCUGGCACUGUUCAUGCACAAGGAUUUGCUUCUACAUUUUAACUUUGAGAUGAAACGCAGACAGACAUUUUCCUCAAGAGACAGAACAAACAGAGCUGACUGGGAGAGAUGUCAACCCAACGGCUUUCAUCUAUUGUGGUGUCCACAACUGGAAUGGCAGUGAAGAUUCCUGUCAAUAAUGUGAGGGGAUUAUGAAUUAAACUGGCUGCAAACACUCCUGAAUCUUCAUCACAGUGUAGCUCAGUCUAC